RNAcentral lists this ribosomal RNA (1266 nucleotides) under Bacillus pumilus. RNAcentral describes it as "bacterial SSU rRNA". It matches the Rfam family "Bacterial small subunit ribosomal RNA", at positions 74 to 1328 of the family's 1533-position model. The record is from RNAcentral. Lineage: Bacteria; Bacillati; Bacillota; Bacilli; Caryophanales; Bacillaceae.
GGGAGCUUGCUCCCGGAUGUUAGCGGCGGACGGGUGAGUAACACGUGGGUAACCUGCCUGUAAGACUGGGAUAACUCCGGGAAACCGGAGCUAAUACCGGAUAGUUCCUUGAACCGCAUGGUUCAAGGAUGAAAGACGGUUUCGGCUGUCACUUACAGAUGGACCCGCGGCGCAUUAGCUAGUUGGUGGGGUAAUGGCUCACCAAGGCGACGAUGCGUAGCCGACCUGAGAGGGUGAUCGGCCACACUGGGACUGAGACACGGCCCAGACUCCUACGGGAGGCAGCAGUGGGAAUCUUCCGCAAUGGACGAAAGUCUGACGGAGCAACGCCGCGUGAGUGAUGAAGGUUUUCGGAUCGUAAAGCUCUGUUGUUAGGGAAGAACAAGUGCGAGAGUAACUGCUCGCACCUUGACGGUACCUAACCAGAAAGCCACGGCUAACUACGUGCCAGCAGCCGCGGUAAUACGUAGGUGGCAAGCGUUGUCCGGAAUUAUUGGCGUAAAGGGCUCGCAGGCGGUUUCUUAAGUCUGAUGUGAAAGCCCCCGGCUCAACCGGGGAGGGUCAUUGGAAACUGGGAAACUUGAGUGCAGAAGAGGAGAGUGGAAUUCCACGUGUAGCGGUGAAAUGCGUAGAGAUGUGGAGGAACACCAGUGGCGAAGGCGACUCUCUGGUCUGUAACUGACGCUGAGGAGCGAAAGCGUGGGGAGCGAACAGGAUUAGAUACCCUGGUAGUCCACGCCGUAAACGAUGAGUGCUAAGUGUUAGGGGGUUUCCGCCCCUUAGUGCUGCAGCUAACGCAUUAAGCACUCCGCCUGGGGAGUACGGUCGCAAGACUGAAACUCAAAGGAAUUGACGGGGGCCCGCACAAGCGGUGGAGCAUGUGGUUUAAUUCGAAGCAACGCGAAGAACCUUACCAGGUCUUGACAUCCUCUGACAACCCUAGAGAUAGGGCUUUCCCUUCGGGGACAGAGUGACAGGUGGUGCAUGGUUGUCGUCAGCUCGUGUCGUGAGAUGUUGGGUUAAGUCCCGCAACGAGCGCAACCCUUGAUCUUAGUUGCCAGCAUUUAGUUGGGCACUCUAAGGUGACUGCCGGUGACAAACCGGAGGAAGGUGGGGAUGACGUCAAAUCAUCAUGCCCCUUAUGACCUGGGCUACACACGUGCUACAAUGGACAGAACAAAGGGCUGCGAGACCGCAAGGUUUAGCCAAUCCCAUAAAUCUGUUCUCAGUUCGGAUCGCAGUCUGCAACUCGACUGCGUGAAGCUG